This 336-nucleotide unclassified non-coding RNA is filed under the name soil metagenome. RNAcentral describes it as "partial contains 5.8S ribosomal RNA, internal transcribed spacer 2, and large subunit ribosomal RNA". The stretch from base 1 to 120 matches the Rfam family "5.8S ribosomal RNA", at positions 35 to 154 of the family's 154-position model. The record is from RNAcentral.
GAUGAAGAACGCAGCGAAAUGCGAUAAGUAAUGUGAAUUGCAGAAUUCAGUGAAUCAUCGAAUCUUUGAACGCACAUUGCGCCCGCCAGUAUUCUGGCGGGCAUGCCUGUUCGAGCGUCAUUUCAACCAUCAAGCCCCCGGCUUGUGUUGGGGACCUGCGGCUGCCGCAGGCCCUGAAAAGCAGUGGCGGGCUCGCUGUCACACCGAGCGUAGUAGAUUUCAUCUCGCUCAGGGCGUGCUGCGGGUUCCGGCCGUUAAACCACCUUCAUAACCCAAGGUUGACCUCGGAUCAGGUAGGAAGACCCGCUGAACUUAAGCAUAUAAAUAAGCGGAGGA